AGACCCGAAACCCGGUGAUCUAGCCAUGGGCAGGUUGAAGGUUGGGUAACACUAACUGGAGGACCGAACCGACUAAUGUUGAAAAAUUAGCGGAUGACCUGUGGCUGGGGGUGAAAGGCCAAUCAAACCGGGAGAUAGCUGGUUCUCCCCGAAAGCUAUUUAGGUAGCGCCUCGUGAAUUCAUCUCCGGGGGUAGAGCACUGUUUCGGCUAGGGGGCCAUCCCGGCUUACCAACCCGAUGCAAACUGCGAAUACCGGAGAAUGUUAUCACGGGAGACACACGGCGGGUGCUAACGUCCGUCGUGAAGAGGGAAACAACCCAGACCGCCAGCUAAGGUCCCAAAGUCAUGGUUAAGUGGGAAACGAUGUGGGAAGGCCCAGACAGCCAGGAUGUUGGCUUAGAAGCAGCCAUCAUUUAAAGAAAGCGUAAUAGCUCACUGGUCGAGUCGGCCUGCGCGGAAGAUGUAACGGGGCUAAACCAUGCACCGAAGCUGCGGCAGCGACACUGUGUGUUGUUGGGUAGGGGAGCGUUCUGUAAGCCUGUGAAGGUGUGUCGUGAGGCAUGCUGGAGGUAUCAGAAGUGCGAAUGCUGACAUAAGUAACGAUAAAGCGGGUGAAAAGCCCGCUCGCCGGAAGACCAAGGGUUCCUGUCCAACGUUAAUCGGGGCAGGGUGAGUCGACCCCUAAGGCGAGGCCGAAAGGCGUAGUCGAUGGGAAACGGGUUAAUAUUCCCGUACUUGGUGUUACUGCGAAGGGGGGACGGAGAAGGCUAUGUUGGCCGGGCGACGGUUGUCCCGGUUUAAGCGUGUAGGUGUGUGUUCCAGGUAAAUCCGGUUCACUUUAACACUGAGGCGUGACGACGAGGCACUACGGUGCUGAAGCAACAAAUGCCCUGCUUCCAGGAAAAGCCUCUAAGCAUCAGGUAACAUCAAAUCGUACCCCAAACCGACACAGGUGGUCAGGUAGAGAAUACCAAGGCGCUUGAGAGAACUCGGGUGAAGGAACUAGGCAAAAUGGUGCCGUAACUUCGGGAGAAGGCACGCUGACACGUAGGUGAAGUGAUUUACUCAUGGAGCUGAAGUCAGUCGAAGAUACCAGCUGGCUGCAACUGUUUAUUAAAAACACAGCACUGUGCAAACACGAAAGUGGACGUAUACGGUGUGACGCCUGCCCGGUGCCGGAAGGUUAAUUGAUGGGGUCAGCGCAAGCGAAGCUCCUGAUCGAAGCCCCGGUAAACGGCGGCCGUAACUAUAACGGUCCUAAGGUAGCGAAAUUCCUUGUCGGGUAAGUUCCGACCUGCACGAAUGGCGUAAUGAUGGCCAGGCUGUCUCCACCCGAGACUCAGUGAAAUUGAACUCGCUGUGAAGAUGCAGUGUACCCGCGGCAAGACGGAAAGACCCCGUGAACCUUUACUAUAGCUUGACACUGAACAUUGAGCCUUGAUGUGUAGGAUAGGUGGGAGGCUUUGAAGUGUGGACGCCAGUCUGCAUGGAGCCGACCUUGAAAUACCACCCUUUAAUGUUUGAUGUUCUAACGUGGACCCGUUACCCGGGUUGCGGACAGUGUCUGGUGGGUAGUUUGACUGGGGCGGUCUCCUCCUAAAGAGUAACGGAGGAGCACGAAGGUUGGCUAAUCCUGGUCGGACAUCAGGAGGUUAGUGCAAUGGCAUAAGCCAGCUUGACUGCGAGCGUGACGGCGCGAGCAGGUGCGAAAGCAGGUCAUAGUGAUCCGGUGGUUCUGAAUGGAAGGGCCAUCGCUCAACGGAUAAAAGGUACUCCGGGGAUAACAGGCUGAUACCGCCCAAGAGUUCAUAUCGACGGCGGUGUUUGGCACCUCGAUGUCGGCUCAUCACAUCCUGGGGCUGAAGUAGGUCCCAAGGGUAUGGCUGUUCGCCAUUUAAAGUGGUACGCGAGCUGGGUUUAGAACGUCGUGAGACAGUUCGGUCCCUAUCUGCCGUGGGCGCUGGAGAACUGAGGGGGGCUGCUCCUAGUACGAGAGGACCGGAGUGGACGCAUCACUGGUGUUCGGGUUGUCAUGCCAAUGGCACUGCCCGGUAGCUAAAUGCGGAAGAGAUAAGUGCUGAAAGCAUCUAAGCACGAAACUUGCCCCGAGAUGAGUUCUCCCUGAGACUUAAAGUCUCCU
This 2141-nucleotide ribosomal RNA is filed under the name Salmonella enterica subsp. enterica serovar Enteritidis. RNAcentral describes it as "partial 23S ribosomal RNA". It matches the Rfam family "Bacterial large subunit ribosomal RNA", at positions 711 to 2829 of the family's 2925-position model. The record is from RNAcentral. Lineage: Bacteria; Pseudomonadati; Pseudomonadota; Gammaproteobacteria; Enterobacterales; Enterobacteriaceae.